CCUACGGGAGGCAGCAGUGAGGAAUAUUGGUCAAUGGACGAGAGCCUGAACCAGCCAAGUCGCGUGAAGGAUGACUGCCCUACGGGUUGUAAACUUCUUUUAUCAAGGAACAAAACGAGGCACGUGUGCCCUUAUGCAUGUACUUUAUGAAUAAGGAUCGGCUAACUCCGUGCCAGCAGCCGCGGUAAUACGGAGGUGGCAAGCGUUGACCGGAUUUACUGGGUGUAAAGGGCGUGCAGCCGGGAGGACAAGUCAGAUGUGAAAUCCCGCGGCUCAACCGCAGAACUGCAUUUGAAACUGUUGUUCUUGAGUACCGGAGAGGUCAUCGGAAUUCCUGGUGUAGCGGUGAAAUGCGUAGAUAUGAGGAAGAACAGCAGUGGCGAAGGCGGAUGACUGGACGGCAACUGACGGUGAGGCGCGAAAGCGUGGGGAGCAAACAGGAUUAGAUACCCGAGUAGUC
This 460-nucleotide ribosomal RNA is filed under the name uncultured bacterium. RNAcentral's name for it is "partial 16S ribosomal RNA". It matches the Rfam family "Bacterial small subunit ribosomal RNA", at positions 338 to 795 of the family's 1533-position model. The record is from RNAcentral.